RNAcentral lists this ribosomal RNA (253 nucleotides) under uncultured bacterium. RNAcentral describes it as "partial 16S ribosomal RNA". It matches the Rfam family "Bacterial small subunit ribosomal RNA", at positions 524 to 776 of the family's 1533-position model. The record is from RNAcentral.
UACGUAGGGUGCGAGCGUUGUCCGGAAUUAUUGGGCGUAAAGAGCUUGUAGGCGGUUUGUCGCGUCUGCUGUGAAAUUUCGGGGCUCAACCCCGAACUUGCAGUGGGUACGGGCAGACUAGAGUGCGGUAGGGGAGACUGGAAUUCCUGGUGUAGCGGUGAAAUGCGCAGAUAUCAGGAGGAACACCGGUGGCGAAGGCGGGUCUCUGGGCCGUAACUGACGCUGAGGAGCGAAAGCGUGGGGAGCGAACAGG